Molecule: ribosomal RNA, 523 nt
Filed under: uncultured bacterium
Lineage: Bacteria
Description: bacterial SSU rRNA
Rfam family: Bacterial small subunit ribosomal RNA
Source: RNAcentral
GGGGAAUAUUGGACAAUGGACCGAGAGUCUGAUCCAGCAAUUCUGUGUGCACGAUGAAGUUUUUCGGAAUGUAAAGUGCUUUCAGUUGGGAAGAAAAAAAUGACGGUACCAACAGAAGAAGUGACGGCUAAAUACGUGCCAGCAGCCGCGGUAAUACGUAUGUCACGAGCGUUAUCCGGAUUUAUUGGGCGUAAAGCGCGUCUAGGUGGUUAUGUAAGUCUGAUGUGAAAAUGCAGGGCUCAACUCUGUAUUGCGUUGGAAACUGUAUAACUAGAGUACUGGAGAGGUAAGCGGAACUACAAGUGUAGAGGUGAAAUUCGUAGAUAUUUGUAGGAAUGCCGAUGGGGAAGCCAGCUUACUGGACAGAUACUGACGCUAAAGCGCGAAAGCGUGGGUAGCAAACAGGAUUAGAUACCCUGGUAGUCCACGCUGUAAACGAUGAUUACUAGGUGUUGGGGGUCGAACCUCAGCGCCCAAGCAAACGCGAUAAGUAAUCCGCCUGGGGAGUACGUACGCAAGUAUG